CUGGCGGCAUGCCUAAUACAUGCAAGUCGAACGAGAAAGUCAUUUCGGUGACGAUUAAAGUGGCGCACGGGUGAGUAACGCGUAGAUAAUCUGCCCUUCAGUCUGGGACAACUUUUCGAAAGGAGAGCUAAUACCGGAUAAUAAUGUAUCACACAUGUGUAACAUUUGAAAGCUCCGACGCUGAAGGAGGAGUCUGCGUCCCAUUAGCUAGUUGGUAAGGUAAUGGCUUACCAAGGCGACGAUGGGUAGCGGGUUUGAGAGGACGAUCCGCCACACUGGAACUGAGACACGGUCCAGACUCCUACGGGAGGCAGCAGUAGGGAAUAUUGCACAAUGGAGGCAACUCUGAUGCAGCAAUGUCGCGUGAGUGAAGAAGGCCCUUGGGUCGUAAAGCUCUUUUAUGGGGGAAGAUGAUGACGGUACCCCAAGAAUAAGCACCGGCUAACUACGUGCCAGCAGCCGCGGUAAUACGUAGGGUGCGAGCGUUGUUCGGAAUUACUGGGCGUAAAGGGCGCGCAGGCGGAAUAGCAAGUCGGAGGUGAAAGCCCGGGGCUCAACCCCGGAGGGUCUUUCGAAACUGCUAAUCUAGAGAGGGUCAGGGGCCAGCAGAAUUCCUGGUGUAGAGGUGAAAUUCGUAGAUAUCAGGAGGAAUACCGGUGGCGAAAGCGGCUGGCUGGGACCACUCUGACGCUGAGGCGCGAAAGCGUGGGGAGCAAACAGGAUUAGAUACCCUGGUAGUCCACGCCGUAAACGAUGAGCACUGGAUGUCUGGAGAGUUCGACCUCUUUGGGUGUCUCAGCUAACGCAUUAAGUGCUCCGCCUGGGGAGUACGGU
Molecule: ribosomal RNA, 834 nt
Filed under: uncultured Pseudomonadota bacterium
Lineage: Bacteria; Pseudomonadati; Pseudomonadota
Description: bacterial SSU rRNA
Rfam family: Bacterial small subunit ribosomal RNA
Source: RNAcentral